CAUGCAUUGAGGAAGACGGGGCUGGACUCUGCCAAGAACAAAAUGUUUUCCUAGGUGGCUCCCAGAUGAUUCCCAUCACUGGGGAUUGGAACGGGCAAGGAGGGGAUGGAGCCACGCUGCCUGCAAGCUGUGUGGCCUGCCCGGCUGGGAGGUGUUCGCGUCGGAUUGCAGAGUUGGGCUCACCAAAGCCCACUUCCUGAGGUGGAUGCCCCUGGGCAGCCCACCCUUCUCAUUGGAGGAGCUGGAUGUCCUUCAGAGCUUGGUUUCCUGGUCAUUUCUGGGUCACUGAUGGCCACCUAUUGGGAAGCACCUGAAUCACCCACACCAGCCUUGUACAUGGAUUCUGCAGCACAAACAGAGACAUCUGAGUCGGUGUUUGUGAUACACCAGAACACAGUGGCCACA
Molecule: long non-coding RNA, 405 nt
Filed under: Fukomys damarensis (Damara mole-rat)
Lineage: Eukaryota; Metazoa; Chordata; Mammalia; Rodentia; Bathyergidae
Description: lncRNA (ENSFDAG00000025506.1)
Source: RNAcentral